UUCCAUCUUCGGGGCAGGGUGCAAUUCCCGACCGACGGUGAUGAGCGUAUCUACGCUUUUAGUCCGUGACCCGUUUGGCAUCAUGCUAAACGGUGGACCUGGUGCAAAUCCGGGACCGACAGUUACAGUCUGGAUGGGAGAAGAUGUCG
Molecule: non-coding RNA, 149 nt
Filed under: Halobacillus halophilus
Lineage: Bacteria; Bacillati; Bacillota; Bacilli; Caryophanales; Bacillaceae
Also listed under: 1 other name
Description: FMN sequence
Rfam family: FMN riboswitch aptamer (RFN element)
About the family: The RFN element is a highly conserved domain that is found frequently in the 5'-untranslated regions of prokaryotic mRNAs that encode for flavin mononucleotide (FMN) biosynthesis and transport proteins. This element is a metabolite-dependent riboswitch that directly binds FMN in the absence of proteins.
Source: RNAcentral